RNAcentral lists this long non-coding RNA (477 nucleotides) under Medicago truncatula (barrel medic). Its description in RNAcentral is "long non-coding RNA (MTRU_LNC007252)". The record is from RNAcentral. Lineage: Eukaryota; Viridiplantae; Streptophyta; Magnoliopsida; Fabales; Fabaceae.
UUGAUAGAUAGUGAAUUAUUUGGAUAGGUAUUCUUGUACUUAUUCAAAAAUAUCCACCCAUAUACUGUGGAUUGUAUUGACAGAUAGUGAAUUAUUUGGAUAGAUAUUGGACCAUGAAUCAUAUAAAAGGAAUGUUCAUAUAUUAGGAUUAACCACAAAUAUUAAAUCAUGAAUAUCAUGAAGGAAAUUUGUUCUUGAAACAUGGGAGGCAUAAAAACUUGAUUCCUAUAUUAGAAGAGAUGCAUAUUUAUCAUAAUAUGACAUAAAUUUGAAUUUGAAAUGAUCAAGAUUCAUAAUGAAUAUUCUGCCAUUGCUAAUUAUUUUUAAUCCUCCAAUGGAUCUUCACAUGAUCAAUUUGAGGAAGUCAUCUUCUUCAAUAACUUUUAUUUCAUCUAAGGGAAAGAAAACAAAUUUCUCAAGAUGAAGAUUACUUUUGUCAACCACCUGUUUUACAUUUGAUAUAAGGAUAAAUAUUAG